AACGAACGCUGGCGGCAUGCCUAACACAUGCAAGUCGAACGAGACCUUCGGGUCUAGUGGCGCACGGGUGCGUAACGCGUGGGAACCUGCCCUUAGGUUCGGAAUAACUCCCCGAAAGGGGUGCUAAUACCGGAUAAUGUCUUCGGACCAAAGAUUUAUCGCCUUUGGAUGGGCCCGCGUUGGUUUAGCUAGUUGGUAGGGUAAAAGCCUACCAAGGCGACGAUCCAUAGCUGGUCUGAGAGGAUGAUCAGCCACACUGGGACUGAGACACGGCCCAGACUCCUACGGGAGGCAGCAGUAGGGAAUAUUGGACAAUGGGCGAAAGCCUGAUACAGCAAUGCCGCGUGAGUGAUGAAGGCCUUAGGGUUGUAAAGCUCUUUUACCCGGGGUGAUAAUGACGGUACCGGGAGAAUAAGCUCCGGCUAACUCCGUG
This 433-nucleotide ribosomal RNA is filed under the name uncultured bacterium. Its description in RNAcentral is "partial 16S ribosomal RNA". It matches the Rfam family "Bacterial small subunit ribosomal RNA", at positions 29 to 507 of the family's 1533-position model. The record is from RNAcentral.